UAACUGGAUGUUUUCACAUCCACUAACUUCUAUUUUAGGAAAAGU
Myotis davidii is the source of this 45-nucleotide non-coding RNA. NCBI's taxonomy places the organism in Eukaryota, Metazoa, Chordata, Mammalia, Chiroptera, Vespertilionidae. The record is from Rfam.